RNAcentral lists this ribosomal RNA (465 nucleotides) under Vreelandella stevensii. Its description in RNAcentral is "partial 16S ribosomal RNA". It matches the Rfam family "Bacterial small subunit ribosomal RNA", at positions 338 to 795 of the family's 1533-position model. The record is from RNAcentral. Lineage: Bacteria; Pseudomonadati; Pseudomonadota; Gammaproteobacteria; Oceanospirillales; Halomonadaceae.
CCUACGGGAGGCAGCAGUGGGGAAUAUUGGACAAUGGGGGCAACCCUGAUCCAGCCAUGCCGCGUGUGUGAAGAAGGCCCUCGGGUUGUAAAGCACUUUCAGUGAGGAAGAACGCCUGGUGGUUAAUACCCAUCAGGAAAGACAUCACUCACAGAAGAAGCACCGGCUAACUCCGUGCCAGCAGCCGCGGUAAUACGGAGGGUGCGAGCGUUAAUCGGAAUUACUGGGCGUAAAGCGCGCGUAGGUGGCUUGAUAAGCCGGUUGUGAAAGCCCCGGGCUCAACCUGGGAACGGCAUCCGGAACUGUCAAGCUAGAGUGCAGGAGAGGAAGGUAGAAUUCCCGGUGUAGCGGUGAAAUGCGUGGAGAUCGGGAGGAAUACCAGUGGCGAAGGCGGCCUUCUGGACUGACACUGACACUGAGGUGCGAAAGCGUGGGUAGCAAACAGGAUUAGAUACCCCAGUAGUC